GGAAAGGCGCGCGAUACAGGGUGACAGCCCCGUACACAAAAAUGCACAUGCUGUGAGCUCGAUGAGUAGGGCGGGACACGUGGUAUCCUGUCUGAAUAUGGGGGGACCAUCCUCCAAGGCUAAAUACUCCUGACUGACCGAUAGUGAACCAGUACCGUGAGGGAAAGGCGAAAAGAACCCCGGCGAGGGGAGUGAAAAAGAACCUGAAACCGUGUACGUACAAGCAGUGGGAGCACGCUUAGGCGUGUGACUGCGUACCUUUUGUAUAAUGGGUCAGCGACUUAUAUUCUGUAGCAAGGUUAACCGAAUAGGGGAGCCGAAGGGAAACCGAGUCUUAACUGGGCGUUAAGUUGCAGGGUAUAGACCCGAAACCCGGUGAUCUAGCCAUGGGCAGGUUGAAGGUUGGGUAACACUAACUGGAGGACCGAACCGACUAAUGUUGAAAAAUUAGCGGAUGACUUGUGGCUGGGGGUGAAAGGCCAAUCAAACCGGGAGAUAGCUGGUUCUCCCCGAAAGCUAUUUAGGUAGCGCCUCGUGAAUUCAUCUCCGGGGGUAGAGCACUGUUUCGGCAAGGGGGUCAUCCCGACUUACCAACCCGAUGCAAACUGCGAAUACCGGAGAAUGUUAUCACGGGAGACACACGGCGGGUGCUAACGUCCGUCGUGAAGAGGGAAACAACCCAGACCGCCAGCUAAGGUCCCAAAGUCAUGGUUAAGUGGGAAACGAUGUGGGAAGGCCCAGACAGCCAGGAUGUUGGCUUAGAAGCAGCCAUCAUUUAAAGAAAGCGUAAUAGCUCACUGGUCGAGUCGGCCUGCGCGGAAGAUGUAACGGGGCUAAACCAUGCACCGAAGCUGCGGCAGCGACG
This 865-nucleotide ribosomal RNA is filed under the name Escherichia coli. Its description in RNAcentral is "partial 23S ribosomal RNA". It matches the Rfam family "Bacterial large subunit ribosomal RNA", at positions 344 to 1213 of the family's 2925-position model. Lineage: Bacteria; Pseudomonadati; Pseudomonadota; Gammaproteobacteria; Enterobacterales; Enterobacteriaceae. The record is from RNAcentral.